UACCAGCACCCCGAGUGGUCGGGACGAUUAUUGGGCCUAAAGCAUCCGUAGCCGGUUCUACAAGUCUUCCGUUAAAUCCACCUGCUUAACAGAUGGGCUGCGGAGGAUACUAUAGAGCUAGGAGGCGGGAGAGGCAAGCGGUACUUAGUGGAUAGGGGUAAAAUCCGUUGAUCCAUUGAAGACCACCAGUGGCGAAGGCGGCUUGCCAGAACGCACUCGACGGUGAGGGAUGAAAGCUGGGGGAGCAAACCGG
This 253-nucleotide ribosomal RNA is filed under the name uncultured bacterium. RNAcentral's name for it is "partial 16S ribosomal RNA". It matches the Rfam family "Archaeal small subunit ribosomal RNA", at positions 474 to 727 of the family's 1478-position model. The record is from RNAcentral.